GAUGAACGCUGGCGGCGUGCCUAAUACAUGCAAGUCGAGCGAACAGACGAGGAGCAUGCUCCUCUGACGUUAGCGGCGGACGGGUGAGUAACACGUGGAUAACCUACCUAUAAGACUGGGAUAACUUCGGGAAACCGGAGCUAAUACCGGAUAACAUGUUGAACCGCAUGGUUCAACAGUGAAAGACGGUCUUGCUGUCACUUAUAGAUGGAUCCGCGCCGCAUUAGCUAGUUGGUAAGGUAACGGCUUACCAAGGCAACGAUGCGUAGCCGACCUGAGAGGGUGAUCGGCCACACUGGAACUGAGACACGGUCCAGACUCCUACGGGAGGCAGCAGUAGGGAAUCUUCCGCAAUGGGCGAAAGCCUGACGGAGCAACGCCGCGUGAGUGAAGAAGGUCUUCGGGUCGUAAAACUCUGUUAUUAGGGAAGAACAAAUGUGUAAGUAACUAUGCACGUCUUGACGGUACCUAAUCAGAAAGCCACGGCUAACUACGUG
This 497-nucleotide ribosomal RNA is filed under the name uncultured bacterium. RNAcentral describes it as "partial 16S ribosomal RNA". It matches the Rfam family "Bacterial small subunit ribosomal RNA", at positions 28 to 507 of the family's 1533-position model. The record is from RNAcentral.